RNAcentral lists this long non-coding RNA (224 nucleotides) under Gossypium raimondii (Peruvian cotton). RNAcentral describes it as "long non-coding RNA (GRAI_LNC002482)". The record is from RNAcentral. Lineage: Eukaryota; Viridiplantae; Streptophyta; Magnoliopsida; Malvales; Malvaceae.
UCUUCCUCUUUUCACUCCUAUGUCUCUCCUAUACCUUCUCUUUCACCUUUCUUUCUUUUAUUUUUCUCUUUUUCAAAUCUCUAUCCUUUUCUCUUUUUUCUUUUUUAACUAAUUCGGGAAAAUUACACCCGAUCUCACUAAACUAUUAAUAAGUUCAGUAACUUAUUAAAAAGUUACAAAAUGGUCACUGAACUAUUUGGAUGUUUUCAUUUAAGUCACUGAAC